GAUGAACGCUGGCGGCGUGCCUAAUACAUGCAAGUCGAACGGUCCGCAAGGAUAGUGGCGAACGGGUGAGUAACGCGUUGGUGACCUGCCCUGAAGAGGGGGAUAACGGAUCGAAAGAUCCGCUAAUACCGCAUAAGCUCUCACUAGUUAGAGAGGUGAGAGGAAAGCCGAAAGGCGCUUUAGGAGGGACCUGCGUCCCAUCAGCUAGUUGGUAAGGUAGUGGCUUACCAAGGCGAUGACGGGUAGGGGACCUGAGAGGGUGGCCCCCCCACAAUGGAACUGAAACACGGUCCAUACACCGUACGGGUGGCAGCAGUAGGGAAUAUUGGUUAAUGGGCGAAAGCCUGACCCAGCAACGCCGCGUGAACGAUGAAGG
Molecule: ribosomal RNA, 376 nt
Filed under: uncultured bacterium
Lineage: Bacteria
Description: bacterial SSU rRNA
Rfam family: Bacterial small subunit ribosomal RNA
Source: RNAcentral